GCAGCCUGAAUCAGCAUACCGCGUGUGUGAGAAGGCCUGAGGGUUGUAAAGCUCUUUCAAUUGGAAGAAAAGUUACGGUUAAUAACCGUUAGCCUUGACGUUAUCUUUAGAAGAAGCACCGGCUAACUCCGUGCCACCAGCCGCGGUAAUACGGAGGGUGCAAGCGUUAAUCGAAUUACUGGGCGUAAAGCGUGCGUAGGCGUUUAUUAAGUCAGAUGUGAAAGCCCCGGGCUUAACCUGGGAACUGCAUUUGAAACUGGCCAACUUUGUAUGGUAGAGGAAAGUGGAAUUUCUGGUGUAGCGAUGAAUGCGUAUAUAUCAGAAGGAACAUCGAUGGCGAAGGCAGCUUUCUGGACCAUUACUGACACUGAGUACGAAAGCGUGGGUAGCAACAGGAUUAGAUACCCUGGUAGUCCACGCCGUAAACGAUGAACUAGCCGUGGGAGGAUUUACCCUUUAGUGGCGAAGCUAACGCGUUCGUUAUCCGCCUGGGGAGUACGGCCGCAAGGUUAAAACUCUAUGAAUUUGACGGG
Molecule: ribosomal RNA, 533 nt
Filed under: uncultured bacterium
Lineage: Bacteria
Description: bacterial SSU rRNA
Rfam family: Bacterial small subunit ribosomal RNA
Source: RNAcentral